Molecule: long non-coding RNA, 1589 nt
Filed under: Cyanistes caeruleus (blue tit)
Lineage: Eukaryota; Metazoa; Chordata; Aves; Passeriformes; Paridae
Description: lncRNA (ENSCCEG00000012108.1)
Source: RNAcentral
UUCUAAGGAUGCACUGCAAAGGUAGAUUCCUCUUACUGCUCAGACGAGAAUUUCUUCUUUUCCAAGAGCCAGGUUAUUUGUAAGUAAGGCCCUUCGAGUUUCCAUCUAGCUGCUGGGCAGGAAUGUGAGCCACGAAGGAGCAGUGAAAGCCACCUGAAAUUUUCAGUCUCCAGGAAUAGAUGGAAAACAGUGUGCUCCAUCAGGUUGGAGGAACUCCUCAGCUGUUUAAAUGUAUGCUCAAGUAUUAUAAAACUAUGUUUUACAGAGUUCUUUUAUUACGGUUAUGUGAGGCUUGAUCACAUAAAGUUAUAUGGGCAACACACUGGUGCUGGAAUGAAGUUCUUAUGGCUUUGUUUUGAUUUCCACAAGGAAAAAGAAUGCAUUUGAAAUGCACCAUGGAGCUGCAGAUAGAAAUCUUGGUAAAAGCAGAGCAGACUUUGAAUUCUGCUUGCCACAGGGUAUAAAUUACAGCUAUCUCCUUUCUGGACCUUUUUGGGGUUUUUUGAAUUUUUUUGGCUAGAGGACCUGUACCUUCACACCAAGUUUUGCAAAGGUUUCCUUGUCUCGUCUGCAAUUCUGUGGCUGUUGUGUGAGCUUUAUCUGAGUGAGGGCUGUAAAUUGGAGCCCAGCAUUGUGAAAAAUGGUGUAAAUCCAAACUCAAAUAUAAGCAAAUCCUAUAAAGGAAAACUGAUAUGACAGCUCCUGGUUCUUUCUGGUAUUAUGAAUGCAAUUAAGAGUGUUAAAAAUGUGUUGCAAACACUGUAUUGUUAUGCUAAUCAGUGUCUUUUUGUUUCUCUCCUAAUGCCUUUCACCUGCAAUGAUUGGAAACACUUGAAAUGAUUGGAUAUUUGGCAUUUUCCGGUUUUCAUCUUAACUCUUCUGGAAAUUCCUACCUGCAGCACCACUUAGAGCCUUCUGCAAAGAUGAGGACCUGUUUGGUGGUGCUUGAGGACAGAGGAAUCAAACCAGGGUUUCUUUGCAAGGAGCUGAAUGAUGCCUGUGCAAAUCUGUGGAUGUGAGAAUUAACUGUGAGAUGCAGGAUCCUGCAUUGUGAUCCCUUCCAGCACCAGUCUCCAGAGACCUGAGCUCAAAAAAGUUGAGGAUUCAGGCUCGUUGAGCAUCUUGAACAUGGGAGAUGCAACAAAAUUUUCAUUUGAAGAAAGACUGGAGCCUGCCCAUCAGCUUUCCUAGUUUUAGAAAUUGUUUCUUCCAAGCCUCUCCUGGCAUGGAUGGGUUUUUCUUGCUUCCCAGAAAAGUUCACCAGGCAAAAACAGCAAAUCCAAACCUGUGAGCACAUGAGCAUCUUCACAAAUGUGCCAUCAUUGCAGGUUUAUGAAAUGAUCCUGGUAGGUGCUAAGUCUGCUUUUAUGUAGAGAUAAGUAUGUUAAAAGACCUAUGGGUCUUUAGGAAUCAGUUAUAAAGGACCACAGGUGAUAUGAUAAUGAUUUGCAUUUCAGGCUGCUUUUUUGUACAUCUCUUUCUUCUGGGAAGCCUGGUGGCUGCACAGUUAUCACCUGUUGCUCAAACACAGCAGUUUUGGGUUGCUGGGAGGUUUUUUUUGCAAUAAACUAUUUUUCAUUUCAGUAGCA